Molecule: RNA transcript, 7836 nt
Organism: Catharus ustulatus (Swainson's thrush)
Lineage: Eukaryota; Metazoa; Chordata; Aves; Passeriformes; Turdidae
Gene: C5H4orf50
Gene name: chromosome 5 C4orf50 homolog
Exons: 17
Source: RefSeq, a predicted model, not a curated record
AUGGCCAGAACAUGCGGCUGCUACAAUAAGUGCGCUGCGUGGACUGGAGAGGAUCUGCUCACAAAGCAGAGAAGUGUUAAAAUUGCUACUUCCUGGGUUUUCCAGGAAUUAGAAGAUGCAGGCACACCUGAUGAAAAAGUAAACAGCACUAGAGAAGACAAUUUGAACCUCAGAAUAAAAGAGCUGGAAAAGUCAGAGCAAAAACUGAAAGGUGUUCUAGAGGACUACGUGGAGUCAGAUUCCAUCCUAAGAAAUAGGAUGAAAGAGCUGGAGCUGUCACACAAAACACUUCUUGUGAUGGUUGAUCAGCUUUAUGUGAAGCUGGACCAGGUUGAAAAUGCCAAUGUGCGCAUUAAAGGGAAGCUGCGAGACAUUCAGGAGGACCUGAUCAGCUUGGUUGAAAACCAAAAGAAGUCAGAGAAGAAGCACAAGGAAAAAUUGCGUUGGCUUCAGGAGCAGCUGAAGACAAAAGAGGAUGAAAUAAAAAGCCAGUCAGAAUAUUUUGAGCACUACAAACAAAGGCAGAGACAACAGACAGCAGUACUGAGGAAAAGGGACUGUUACCUUCAGGGUGAAGUAUCUAGGCUGGAAAAGCAAGUCCUAGAUCUUAAUGCCCAUAUUGCUCUUUUGACAUCCAAGUUAGAAGAGGGACUGGUGCAGCACCUCCAGCAGAACCUGCAGUCAGUGUGCAGUGGGACUCAGGGCUGUAAACACCCUCGCAUGGAAGAAAUGGAAUGGAAGACUUGUAUUGAAAAUGUGGAACAUGAUGUGAAAAGCCACCUCAAGGCAUUUCAGCAAAACCUGAAGCUCUUGAGGGAAAAAGAAGAGGACACUAGAAGAGAACAGGCAGACCUGCUGACUGAACUGCAGUGCUUUCAGAACACUGAAGAUUUUCUCAGAACAAAAUUGGAAGAAUCUCACCAUCAUGUCUAUAGUUUAAAAUUAUCUGAAAUCAAACUACAGGAAAAAGUGGAAGAGCUUUUAGAUGAAAACAGAACUUUAAAAGAACAAGGUACUGUGAAGUUGAAAAAGAAGAAAGAAAAAGACUCAGAACUUACAAGAUUGGUGGAUGGGGACAACAGUGUUAACCUGAACGGAGAUCUAAUUCAGGAUGAAGUUCAUAAUCUGAAACGGAGAGCAGUCUUGGAUUCACUCAGAAGCAGGGCUACUCAAACUCCAGUUGUGCUGCUACAUGACAAAGAGUCUGAAACACCAGCCUGUAGUUGUGAUGGACUAAAGCCGAUGGAGGAGCUACCAGAAGAAAUUGUGCCAGUUUUGGAAUACAGUUCUAGUGCUAUUGCAAAAGCUGCUGGUCUAGCUGAGACUGAGCAGGUCACCCUUGGACCACAGAGGGCAAAUAAUCUAGAGGAUAGUUUCACUUUGCCCAGGUGUACCCCAAGUCAUCGUGCAGCAGGACUGCUUCCCCCUUGUCCUGAGAAGUUACCCAGUGAUGAGACAAGUAAGGAAGCCAAAGAUGAAGAAACAUUUUUUCUCUUGAAGGAGCACGCUAUAACUCUACCAGUGAAGACAUUCCCUGCUUCUGUGGUUGAAAUCUUAAUGAGAAAGAAGCUCCAACUGAUCUUGUUUGAACCUGGAAUAUGCCAUGUAACAGCUUUCACCACUGAGAAUAAAGUGAGGAGUUUGAGUUUCUGUGUAACAAAUACUGAUCUUUGGUCUGAUGGCCUUUGCAUUAUUGCAAAAGAAGGAUUUUAUGACAGAGCUACUGAACUUCUUCAUGGAAAGUUGUUUUCUACUGAGGCUGAAAUUUUCACAACAUCUCUAGAAGAAUGCAACAUGGAAAAACAGUGGGGAAACAUGCAAAUUCUGCCAAAAAGUGAGGAAAAAUGUGUGCUGAAAAGAGAGAUAGACAGAAUCAAUCAAGAAACUUCUGAACAGUUUGAUGAAUUUCAGAAAACAAAUACAAACAUUAUUUUAGAAAAAAAUCUAAAAGUAUUAAUGUCUUCUUUGGGUUUCACCUAUGAGGAGCUGAGAAAAGAGAAAAGUAUAGGACCAAAGAAAAAUACAGUAAAAUUAAAAGAAGAACGUCAACAACCUGAUCUUAAACGAAAGAAAGUUCAAACAGAAUAUAGUGUAAUACAAACUGAAGAACACAGAGUUCCGACAAUAGAUCCUUCAGAUUAUUCCCCUGGGGAAAAGGACAGCAUGUUUGAAAGCUACAGUAUGAUGAAAGAGCAAGUCAGAAAGGCGGAAGAAGAGCUAAAAAUACAGCAAAAGGAAUUAGAAAAAUCAAAAAAAGAGGCUCAGAAGUGGUACAGAGAACUUGGUUUUGCUGAAACAAGGUAUGAAGAAACCAAAACUCAUUUGAUGCAGGCUCUCUCAGAAUUAGACCGCCUUAAGCAAGAAGUUGGGGACAAAAUGCAGGGAAAGCAGCACUGCAAAUUAAUGCCUGUGUACACAUUGAAGGAUGCCCAGGAAAAAGAGGUGAAUAAAAUAUGCAGUAAGAGAUUAGAGCAGCAAGUACUGACCUUGAAAGCCCAGCUCAGGGACCAGGCUGCAUUACAAAAUCAAUUUCAUGACUUGCAGAAGGAAGUGGAACUCCUUCAGGCUCAGCUAUGUGAAAAGGAGAAAGAACUGCAGAAGAGCAAAUCUGAAGUGAAGUUGACAUUAGCUCCUCUGAAGGCUAAGCUGGCUUGCCUCACCCAAAAGUGCCAGGAAAGGAACAGCUUCAUUAGGAGAAUGCAUGAUGAAUUCCAAAAGCAAGGAUUUAUUAACUCUGUAUUUGAUGAAGAAAUGAAGAGCUUGGUGAAUGAUAUGACCCUGGCAGAGUACACGGUUGCUUUUACACCAAUGUGUGAUCAAGAGAUGCUGCCUUCCUCCACAGAGGAUCAUGUGGGAUGUGCCACAGGGAUGGCUGGAUCAGUAUCUGUAAACUUUCAGUCAGGGGUGGAUGGCCCCCACAGUUCUCCCAUCACCCCAAAUGUGUGUGCUGGUUCUUCCAUCACAGUAACAAGCCCAGAGAGGAUUUUAGCCUUGCAACAAGAACUAGGAGAAAACCACUGCAAAAAUUGCCAGAUACCUUCAGUUGUCCCCUCCAGCUCAAACCCUUGGGCUGGUCCCCACCUGCCCAUGACCCAGGAGGAAGCCCCUUGGCCUCUGCUGUCAGGGAUGAAGGAUGCUGCAGUGCCCCCAGUUGUGUCCUGGGCCACGAAGGGGAGGGAUCGGUUGUCGAAACAUGAUGAUGUAUUUUGGGGUCAAAUAGGAAAUCAGCAUGCAGGUGCUAUUCCCCAGGGAAUGAAACACAAAAAUGCCAUUAUGAAUAAGGCAUGGCUCUCUAGAGAAAAAACAGAUGGCUCAACCUCAGCUACCACAGCAGAAAGCUAUUUGCCAGACAUGUUGUCAGCAAGUAAUAAAGGUCGAUAUCCUGUGGGGAGAAAUCAGCUGCAUGGGAAAGAAUAAAACCUGCAGAAAUAAAACAAGGGAUGAGUUUACCAGUUGGUUCAGUCUGUAUUAUUUAACAGUGGAGAGAGGCAUCCUGAUGUUCAAUUCAGAGAUGAGGAUGCUGCAAUAACUUACAAAGCAGAAUGCAAGGGAAGAAUGUAUCAGUCACACAGAAGAAGCAGUAGAGCUCUGAAGGACAGAUGAAAUGAAAUGAAAUGAAAUGUGGUUUGGCCUGAAGGUGACUGCAGCUGCUCCAUUAUGGGAAAACGUGAGAAGUUGCCCUCAGUUACAAUCUGCACCAUUUUAGCCACCUGCUGUAGUGGAAGCUGGCCAUGCACAGUAACCCAGUGUGUGGUUUGAGUCUGAGUUUUGUUUUGUUUUGUUUUCUUGGCAUCUCAGCAUUUGCAUUUUAAAGCAAUUACCAAGUUAAGCACAAUCUCCAUCUUCAUGGGUCUGCUUAUGUGGGUAUGUAAUAUCUUCAGCCUUGUGUGGCUUUGAACAUUCCUGAAAGAGCCUUUGAUCUGAGUUGGGAUGUUUAGUAUAUCUGAGGAUGUGAUACUUGAGGGUACAAACUGUUUAGCAAAUGAGACAGAAUGGCAUUUUUACAAGGGUAAGUUGGAAUUGGAAAUGAUCUUCAUGUGUGCUGAGAGGCACUUGGAACAUCAAAGUGCUCUGUCCUAAUACUCUGAGUAUUUCAACCACAUGAAUAGGCCACUCUUUAUUAACUAAAUUAACUGAAUUUAACUUUCAGAUAAAACACUUGCAGACACACUUGCUUCUCCUGAAAUGGGCACGUUUGUUCACUCUGGUUGGUAGCAGCACAUAUGAUGCAAACACAUUUUGCAACCAUGCUGCACAAUGCAGAUUACACACCACAACCCCUGCUAUUCACCUCUGAGUACCUUUUGGGAAGGCAGGGAGAUGUGAAUGUAGGCACAGACCUGUACAUAAGGAGUCCUGUGGGUGCCUCCAUCCAUUCUGUAACUAAAGGCACAGAGCACUGUUGAGUCUGUGGAAUACUCAUGCUGACCUGAAUGGCAGCAGCUGCUCUCAAGCUCUUACAUCGUGAUGCACUUUCAGUUUUGGUAGCUGUUUUAUGACUUGUAUUUCCCUCUUUUCUUUUUUAACGUUGAGCUAACUGCUAGGAUGUUCUGUCUUUACAAUGUGCAGUUGCUCAGUAAUUACAGAUAUCCUUUGAAAGGAAGCAGAAGAAGAAUAAGCCAUGGAAUUCCAAAUCAGAUUAAUGUAAUGUGCAUUUCUAGAUUACAAUUAGUAACAGGAUGACACGUUGCCAUGGUAACAUGUGAAGCUUAACUACAAGUUCCUAAAAUAAAGCAAUGACAUAUGUGUAGGUUUCUAUCAAUUUGCAUACUAUCCACAUGAAAACAUAUAUAAUUUCUACAACACUAAGGCAAUUAAACCCUUCUGAAUUAAGUGUUGAACUAAAAUAUCAGACCUCUUUCCUAGUAUUUAUGCAAAAUCUCCCACCAUAAAUUAUAAAUGUUGAAGCUGUCCAUUUUGUAACAUCUUAAGCUUUCUGCCUUUUGGUUUCAUUUUAGUACAAUUAGUGUAAGGAAUGUAGAGCACUCUUCAUUCUUUGUGGUUUGUACCACAUCGAUCUCCUUGAAAUUCUACCACCUCCUCAUACAAAAAUUGUUCUACCAAGAUUGGAAAAGUCUGCCUGUAAAUUACAUUGACAGACCAGUGGAUGUGGUUCAUGUGGCUAAGAAUUGGGAAGUAAAACCCCAACUUUUCCUCAAAUCCCUGGAAGAAAGCAGUAAACUUUUAAUGUGAGAUUGCUAGGUAAGAUGGAAAACCUAGCUAUUAUUUUCUAGAUGCCUUAUGGUGAAAAGUCUUGUCUGCUUUUCUACUUGUCAGAGAGUCUGAGUUUGUUUCACUAAGCAGAAGUUAACUUGUUUAAUGUGCUACCUAUGGUAGAGCUACCAGGACAUGCUUUACAUGUAUUGUCAUUUCAUGGUAAACCUUCGGUGAAUGAAAAAUUGGGUGCUUUAUUCUGAUUGCUUUCUACACGUUACAUUGUUUUGGUCAAAUUUUUUAGUCAAAAUUAAGAUGCUGCUAAGUUCUGUAAGCAAAUGAAUCUCCUUCUGUCACCCUAAAUAGACAAGAUGGGCAGUGUUACAUGUGAAGUAUGGUUUCUUUGGCAGUUCACUUAUUUAUGUGUACUUUACUGUAUAGAGCAGUGGAGAAUAUUGAAAAUGCAGCUUACAGGUUGCUCCUUUAGCGACCUUUAAAUCCCAAAUUCUGUUCUUCACACCACUAUGGUUGGCAAAUGCUGCAAGUACAAUGAUUGACUGUGGUGUGACAAUCAUGUUAUAUUCAGGAUAAUGCAGUUGCUGGGAAAUGUGUCAAAUGCACAGCAGAGUUCCCAGGAUAAACCUCCUGCUGAAGCAUGGUUGAUGUUUGUCCUCGUGACCUUUUGGAAAUUGGAAACUCUGAUUUUUGUGUUUCAUAAAUUUACCUGUAUUUCUCACUUGCAGAUGAAAGUUUUUAAUAUUUGAAUUUACUAUGGUUAUGUGGUGGAAAGAGGGACAUGUGCAUGCUGGGUUUUGCCACUAAUCCCUUGGAAAUCCUUUAGUGCCUUAAGGAGGCAGAGGGGUAACAGGCCCUAGGAUUACAGAAACUUGUUCAAACCUCUUUCCUGCUUUAGAAGAAUUCCUUUAAAUAUAUUGUGCCUUUGGCUCUAAAUAUAUUUGCAUUAGAAAUCAGUAGCCAUGGGAUUAUGGGCAGGAAUUGUUGCCCCUGUAGAAAUGUUAGGAAGGAGAGUAUACUAUUUCCUGUUUCUUGUAUAGGAUAUCAUAUAAAAAUAUAGCUAACUUAAAUUCUACCAUUGAUAUCCAUGCAUACUAGGAAAUUUGCAAAUUGCAGUUAAAGGCGGGGAAAAAAAGAAAAAAAAAAAAAGAGAAAGUUCAAAUAUUCUGGAUUAAAAGCUGGUAUCAUAAAGUGACUGGCAAAUUUCCACAGGCUUUCUUGGGAGCAAGAUUUCAUGCUUGCUUCUAUUUGGCUUAAGAAAUUCUCACAUGUGGUAGAUAUGUGGGCAUCAUGUUCUGUUUAAUGUUGUAGGAGAGGAAAAGAGAGAUUAGUAGUUUUAGAGACCUGCUUGAUUUGGAGUUGCUGGGAUCUGUGGUAUAAAUCUCUGCUCACUAUUGUUUCUUUGUGUAACAUAGACUUUUGCUUUGGGAAUAUGAAUAUGCAAAUGUAAAUUCCAAUGUGAGAGGUUACUGUGCAAUGUGCACUAAACGAUGCCAAACUACAUUUCUCUACUCUCUGAACUGUGUUCUUUUUCAAAAAGAGGAAAAAUGUAACUAACAGAUGAAAAACAGUGCCAAAAAAGCCUGCAUGAGGCAAUUCAUGUAUCACCCACUGAUGGUCCUAAGCAGCUCUUAGGAAAAGCUGAAUAAGCUUUUAACUCAUGAGUGAAUUUUAUCUUCUAGGAAUUAAGAACAAUUUGUUGGUACAGAGCUAAAUUAAAAAAAAAAAAAAAAAGAAGGCCUGAAAAUCAAACUGGUGGUGGUCUUCUGUUUUGCUACCUGUGAUGACAAGCAAGUUUUAAAGAAUUUGUAAAUAGUUGAAAGAAAAUCAUUACGUGGCUUGCAGUAUGUAAGACAAGACCCAGCAUGGAACAGAUUUUAUAGCUUAUUUAUAAAUUAUGCUUCUGCCUUUUGUUUGAAACUUGGAAAAGGAAACCAUGUAAAUUAAAUAAGGAGUGAAGACUUACUGCACACAUUUGUUGACUGAAACAAAAAUAUUUCCCCACCUCCUGAGGUAUUUAUGAGUAAUCUGGGAUGAAUAAUGUACAGAGAUCUUGCCUUUUGAGCUCUAGUGCUGUACAACUCUUUAACACUUUUGCACAGCCAACAGAGGAGUGGUAACCAGAAGUCACGAAGAGCAGUUGUUAGGGCCACAAAUUUGGAUCCAUUUGAAGAGGUACCAAAGAAUGCACAAAAUGCUGGGAUUUAUGGUGUGAUACUUAUUAAUCAGGUGUAGCAGUUAGACUGGGGAAGGAGGGAUGUUUGUAAAUAAAUGCAAGAAGUUUAAACUCUGACCCAUGACCACCCUGCCACUGGUGUCACAUUGGUUUCAGCUAUGUGAGAAGCUUCAAUGUAUAAAAGAGGCCACUCGUAUUUUAACUGUUUCAUUAAAACAGUCUGGAUAACUCUUCAGCAAAGAUUUCCACUCUAAGACAUUUGCCAUUGAUAUCAACUGUACAUAUGUAUUAAUAUUCAGUGUAACUAGGAGGAUACAGAAUUGUAAUGAAGUCACAAAGUCUACUUGAUGAUCACAGAUUUGUAACUCUCACAAAUUAUGUAAGAUAUGUUGACAUUUUAUCUUGUUAACAAGAUGUAUUUUUCUAUGUUAGCUAAAUGUAUAAUUUGUAUAAUUUUGUAUAUUAAAUGUAUGCAUAUUUUAAAUUAAAAA